CGGGGCGCGCUGGCGCCGGGGACCCUCGCUCCGGACCCCCGCCGGGUUCCCCAGAGGCUUCCACGACCGCGCACCAGGGUUAGUCAAGUGAAGCAGUGCAAGUGGAGAAGGAACAAAGAAAUCUGUAACUGGUUGUGUUCAAUGAAUUGUAUAUUCAUCACUUAUUUAACAUUUGAUUGCACCCCAAAAGAUGAUUUCAUGAACAAAUUUAUAUGAUACAAUCUAGGAGUUUCAUUCAGAGAAUAAAAGAGUGAUUAUAGAACUUU
Suricata suricatta (meerkat) is the source of this 266-nucleotide long non-coding RNA. RefSeq lists it as uncharacterized. The transcript has 2 exons. NCBI's taxonomy places the organism in Eukaryota, Metazoa, Chordata, Mammalia, Carnivora, Herpestidae. The record is from RefSeq and is a predicted model, not a curated record.